GCGGACGUGGCGGAAUUGGUAGACGCGCUAGACUUAGGAUCUAGUGCCAUACGGCGUGGGGGUUCGAGUCCCUUCGUCCGCACUA
RNAcentral lists this transfer RNA (85 nucleotides) under hydrothermal vent metagenome. RNAcentral describes it as "tRNA-Leu-TAG". It matches the Rfam family "tRNA". From Rfam's summary of the family: Transfer RNA (tRNA) molecules are approximately 80 nucleotides in length. The record is from RNAcentral.